This 468-nucleotide ribosomal RNA is filed under the name uncultured bacterium. Its description in RNAcentral is "partial 16S ribosomal RNA". It matches the Rfam family "Bacterial small subunit ribosomal RNA", at positions 28 to 507 of the family's 1533-position model. The record is from RNAcentral.
GACGAACGCUGGCGGCGUGCUUAACACAUGCAAGUCGAACGGAAAGGCCCUGCUUUUGUGGGGUGCUCGAUUGGCGAACGGGUGAGUAACACGUGAGUAACCUGCCCUUGACUUUGUGAUAACUUUAGGAAACUGGGGCUCAUACCGGAUAGGAGCUCCUGCUGCAUGGGGGGGGUUGGAAAGUUUCGGCGGUGGUGGAUGGACUCGAGGCUUAUCAGCUUGUUGGUGGGGUAGUGGCGUACCAAGGCUUUGACGGGUAGCCGGCCUGAGAGGGUGACCGGCCACCAUGGGACUGAGAGACGGACCAGACUCCUACGGGAGGCAGCAGUGGAGAAUAUUGCACAAUGGGCGGAAGCCUGAUGCAGCAGCGCCGCGUGCGGGAUGACGGCCUACGGGUUGUAAACCGCUUUCGCCUGUGACGAAGCGUGAGUGACGGUAAUGGGUAAAGAAGCACCGGCUAACUACGUG